RNAcentral lists this ribosomal RNA (464 nucleotides) under uncultured bacterium. RNAcentral's name for it is "partial 16S ribosomal RNA". It matches the Rfam family "Bacterial small subunit ribosomal RNA", at positions 28 to 507 of the family's 1533-position model. The record is from RNAcentral.
GACGAACGCUGGCGGCGUGCUUAACACAUGCAAGUCGAACGGUAAGGCCCCAGCUUGCUGGGGUACACGAGUGGCGAACGGGUGAGUAACACGUGGGUGACCUGCCCCGCACUUCGGGAUAAGCCUGGGAAACUGGGUCUAAUACCGGAUAGGACCGCACCGUGAGGGUGUGGUGGAAAGUUUUUCGGUGUGGGAUGGGCCCGCGGCCUAUCAGCUUGUUGGUGGGGUAAUGGCCUACCAAGGCGGCGACGGGUAGCCGCCCUGAGAGGGUGGACGGCCACAUUGGGACUGAGACACGGCCCAGACUCCUACGGGAGGCAGCAGUGGGGAAUAUUGCACAAUGGGCGGAAGCCUGAUGCAGCGACGCCGCGUGGGGGAUGACGGCCUUCGGGUUGUAAACUCCUUUCACCAUCGACGAAGGUUUUCUGACGGUAGAUGGAGAAGAAGCACCGGCUAACUACGUG